Molecule: ribosomal RNA, 423 nt
Filed under: uncultured bacterium
Lineage: Bacteria
Description: bacterial SSU rRNA
Rfam family: Bacterial small subunit ribosomal RNA
Source: RNAcentral
AGGCAGCAGUGGGGAAUAUUGGACAAUGGGCGAAAGCCUGAUCCAGCCAUGCCGCGUGAGUGAUGAAGGCCUUAGGGUUGUAAAGCUCUUUCGCCGGGGAAGAUAAUGACGGUACCCGGAAAAUAAGCCCCGGCUAACUCCGUGCCAGCAGCCGCGGUAAUACGGAGGGGGCUAGCGUUAUUCGGAAUUACUGGGCGUAAAGCGUGCGCAGGNNGUUAGUUAAGUUGGAUGUGAAAGCCCGGGGCUUAACCUCGGAUGUGCAUYCAAUACUGGCUCGCUGGAGGUUGGAAGAGGAGAGUGGAAUUCCCAGUGUAGAGGUGAAAUUCGUAGAUAUUGGGAAGAACACCAGUGGCGAAGGCGGCUCUCUGGUCCAUACCUGACRCUCAUGCGCGAAAGCGUGGGGAGCAAACAGGAUUAGAUACC